CUCAGUGAACAAAACUAAACAAAAUUAUGGCUGGAAAUAAUAUAAGAAAAAACACAAAGUAUGUUAAAAGCCCCUUUAUGAACUUCAGAAUCUAUAUACGUUUACAACCCAUUCUUAUGGUGUACUAUGUCUCAAUUAAAUGACAGUAUCAUUAAAGUUACAAGGAUUUAAAGUGAGACUACGGCAGUAUGAGGGUUUAUAUACAGCAUUACAGAAUAAUGCAUAUGUCAGAGGAAACAAAUUAUGGCUUUGGCUCUUCAGAAUUCAUGAAAAUAACUGAAAAGGCAGAAUUCCCAAGAACUUUCUUUUUAUAAGCAAUACAUUCUUAAGGUAUCUACAGACUACCAAUACAGUAGUUAAACACAAUGUGAACACAAUAAAUGGAAACGCCAAUAAUAUGUUCAUGUUCAUUCACCUUCUAAUCAUUAUGUGUAUUAAUGUAAUUAUUGCUCAAGUCAUCAUAUAAAGUAUGAAAUAAUUUUUUUCUAAAU
This is a non-coding RNA of Pelobates cultripes (western spadefoot toad), 491 nucleotides long. The record is from the annotation of a GenBank genome assembly. NCBI's taxonomy places the organism in Eukaryota, Metazoa, Chordata, Amphibia, Anura, Pelobatidae.